RNAcentral lists this ribosomal RNA (355 nucleotides) under Lamprohaminoea cymbalum. Its description in RNAcentral is "Haloa cymbalum partial small subunit ribosomal RNA". Lineage: Eukaryota; Metazoa; Mollusca; Gastropoda; Cephalaspidea; Haminoeidae. The record is from RNAcentral.
ACCCCACUAUUGGCCCCCAAGAAAAACUCUAAGCACUACAGUUUUAAAACUAAAACUUAAAUAACAUGGCGGCGAGCUUAAAUUUCAGAGGAACCUACCAGAUAAAUGAUAACCCGCAAUACAUUCUUACUUCACCUAAAAGUUUAUAUAUCGCCGUCUAGUAAUCUUUCCAGAAGGCUACAAAAUGUUAACUACAAAAAGACAGGCCAUGACAUAGCGUAUGAUGGAGACAUAAGGUGGGUUACAAUAAGUAAUUCUUUCGGAAAUACACCUAAAGAUGUAAACCAAGAUGGAUUUGAAAGUAACUGGUUAAAAUAAAUAUACAGUGAAUCUUUCUAAGUUCGUGUACACACCG